GGCAUCGUCUAACGGUUAGGACGUAGGUCUCAUAAUCCUAAAAUCUGAGUUCGAUUCUCAGUGCGAGCA
Molecule: transfer RNA, 69 nt
Filed under: Mycosphaerella sp. Ston1
Lineage: Eukaryota; Fungi; Ascomycota; Dothideomycetes; Mycosphaerellales; Mycosphaerellaceae
Also listed under: 1 other name
Description: tRNA-Met (CAT) (tRNA-Met-CAT-2-1)
Rfam family: tRNA
About the family: Transfer RNA (tRNA) molecules are approximately 80 nucleotides in length.
Source: RNAcentral